Betta splendens (Siamese fighting fish) is the source of this 1245-nucleotide long non-coding RNA. RefSeq lists it as uncharacterized. Lineage: Eukaryota; Metazoa; Chordata; Actinopteri; Anabantiformes; Osphronemidae. The record is from RefSeq and is a predicted model, not a curated record. The transcript is spliced from 3 exons.
GUCAGUUUGUUUAGAUCCUGUAGUGAUGGACAAACCAAAAUGCUGCUUCCUGCUUCCAACAGCUGAAUGACGAGUGACCAGAGUUGGAGCAACUGAACCAGAUGAACAACAGGCACCGUGUGAUGCAGAGACUCAACCACUGCUGCCAGCGUCUGAAGCAAAACAAGCCUCUGACCCCGUCUCGCAGCUCGGCCCGACAGCUGCUGCUCCACCUCCAGCAGAGUCAUGGCCGACACAUCCAGCUCCUGUUCUUCUUCCUCUGUGGCUGUUGUAGAGGUCCAGCUGGUCAGCUCCUGCAGGAGACACGAGGCAGCGAUGGAACGUCAACUGAGCGCCUGGGAAUCACCUGCUGCUCUCUCUGCGCCUGAACUUGGCUCCUCCUUCACUGCCUGGGCUGAAGUGGAAACCUGCCACCACAUCAUUCUCCUGCUGCUGCAGACCUGAAAGCUGCCUCAGCGCUGACAGAGAUGCUUCAGAGUGGCUCAGGUACCACAGCAAGAUCUCCUGGCAGGGGGCGCUGUGGAGCACGUGGUACCAAACUCUUAACAAUGAAUACUGCUAUGAAGUAUGUAUUAUGUAGUAUUAUUAAUUGUAACAGUAUUCUGACUUGCUGUACUGAAUCAUCUACAAUAUAUCUACCUGGGUUUAAGGCUCAGAAAGUUAGUUGUUCUAGAGUAGGAAACUCAGCAGUUACUCUAUUAACUUCAGUUUGUAGCUAAUAAACUGAGUCACUACAUUUAAGAUGGGGGAAAAAAUGUAACCACUUUAUAGAUUCACUGUGGGGAAGUUGUGUACUGUAUGAACAGAGCUCCUUACCGUAGGUGGGAGACAUUCUGUUUGGUGAAGCAGAACAGUGUGAAGACAACAGGAACAACUUUUUGUAGAGCUUUAAGUAAAAGGGCUGAUGGACUGUUUCCAAUUACCCAGAUCUGACAGAAAGAAAAGACGUACGUUGUCACCAUGAAUCUUUCUUCAUUAAGAUGUGAUGAUGACAUCUUCAACAAAACCACAUACUGUAGACCAUCCUCGAACCAAACCUGGGAUAUGAGCAAUGAGCUUUGCUAUGAAUGUGUUGUGUUCAGUGUCUUUAUAUUUCCCCACCUUGUACACGUCAUCCACGCACCUCGUCAACUCCCACUCAUCCACAGCAGCCUGUGAAUUAUCUUGGUCUGGUAAAAACACGUAAGCGCACACACACACACACACACACACACACACACACACACACACACACACACACACACA